CGCGGCCUAUCAGCUUGUUGGCAGGGUAAUGGCCUACCAAGGCGACGACGGGUAGCCGGCCUGAGAGGGCGACCGGCCACACUGGGACUGAGACACGGCCCAGACUCCUACGGGAGGCAGCAGUGGGGAAUAUUGCGCAAUGGGCGGAAGCCUGACGCAGCGACGCCGCGUGCGGGAUGAAGGCCUUCGGGUUGUAAACCGCUUUCAGCAGGGACGAACAAAGGACGGUACCUGCAGAAGAAGCGCCGGCUAACUACGUGCCAGCAGCCGCGGUAAUACGUAGGGCGCGAGCGUUGUCCGGAAUUAUUGGGCGUAAAGAGCUCGUAGGCGGCCUGUCGCGUCCGCUGUGAAAUCCCGGGGCUUAACCCCGGGCGUGCAGUGGAUACGGGCUGGCUGGAGGCAGGCAGGGGAGAACGGAAUUCCUGGUGUAGCGGUGAAAUGCGCAGAUAUCAGGAGGAACACCGGUGGCGAAGGCGGUUCUCUGGGCCUGUUCUGACGCUGAGGAGCGAAAGCGUGGGGAGCGAACAGGAUUAGAUACCCUGGUAGUCCACGCCGUAAACGUUGGGCGCUAGGUGUGGGUCCCUUCCACGGGGUCUGUGCCGCAGCUAACGCAUUAAGCGCCCCGCCUGGGGAGUACGG
This 639-nucleotide ribosomal RNA is filed under the name uncultured Actinomycetes bacterium. RNAcentral describes it as "bacterial SSU rRNA". It matches the Rfam family "Bacterial small subunit ribosomal RNA", at positions 232 to 885 of the family's 1533-position model. Lineage: Bacteria; Bacillati; Actinomycetota; Actinomycetes. The record is from RNAcentral.